CCUACGGGAGGCAGCAGUGGGGGAUAUUGCACAAUGGGGGAAACCCUGAUGCAGCGACGCCGCGUGGGCGAAGAAGGAUUUCGGUAUGUAAAGCCCUAUCAGCAGGGAAGAAGAAAUAACGGUACCUGAGUAAGAAGCACCGGCUAAAUACGUGCCAGCAGCCGCGGGAAUACGUGUGGUGCAAGCAUUAUGCGGAUUUACUGGGUGUAAAGGGAGCGCCGGCGGCACGGCAAGCCCGAUGUGAAAGCCAGCGGACCAACCGCGGGACUGCAGUGGGAACUGCCGGGCUUGAGUGCCGGAGAGGUAGGCGGAAUGCGUAGUGUAGCGGUGAAAUGCGUAGAUAUUAGGCGGAACACCAGUGGCGAAGGCGGCCUACUGGACGGUGACUGACGCUGAGGCUCGAAAGCGUGGGGAGCAAACAGGAUUAGAUACCCUGGUAGUC
This 442-nucleotide ribosomal RNA is filed under the name uncultured bacterium. Its description in RNAcentral is "partial 16S ribosomal RNA". It matches the Rfam family "Bacterial small subunit ribosomal RNA", at positions 338 to 795 of the family's 1533-position model. The record is from RNAcentral.